AGUGAACGCUGGCGGUAGGCCUAACACAUGCAAGUCGAACGGCAGCACAGUAAGAGCUUGCUCUUACGGGUGGCGAGUGGCGGACGGGUGAGGAAUACAUCGGAAUCUACUUUUUCGUGGGGGAUAACGUAGGGAAACUUACGCUAAUACCGCAUACGACCUACGGGUGAAAGCAGUGGAUCUUCGGACCUUGCGCGAUUGAAUGAGCCGAUGUCGGAUUAGCUAGUUGGCGGGGUAAAGGCCCACCAGGGCGACGAUCCGUAGCUGGUCUGAGAGGAUGAUCAGCCACACUGGAACUGAGACACGGUCCAGACUCCUACGGGAGGCAGCAGUGGGGAAUAUUGGACAAUGGGCGCAAGCCUGAUCCAGCCAUACCGCGUGGGUGAAGAAGGCCUUCGGGUUGUAAAGCACUUUUGUUGGGAAAGAAAAGCAGCAGGUUAAUACCCCGCUGUUCUGACGGUACCCAAAGAAUAAGCGCCGGCUAACUUCGUG
Molecule: ribosomal RNA, 492 nt
Filed under: uncultured bacterium
Lineage: Bacteria
Description: partial 16S ribosomal RNA
Rfam family: Bacterial small subunit ribosomal RNA
Source: RNAcentral